Camelina sativa (false flax) is the source of this 211-nucleotide non-coding RNA. The record is from RefSeq and is a predicted model, not a curated record. NCBI's taxonomy places the organism in Eukaryota, Viridiplantae, Streptophyta, Magnoliopsida, Brassicales, Brassicaceae.
AAAUGGAGCUAGAAAAGUGUUCAACUGUGUACGGAUUUGCUUUUGUUGACUGUGCUGCCUUGAGGUUUUGGGUUGGCUCCAUCAGCGAUGAUGCAUCAUGUGCUGCUCUUGGAGCUUUAUUGAUGCAGGUUUCUCCAAAGGAAGUGGUAUAUGACAGUAAAGGGCUAUCAAGAGAAGCCCAAAAGGCUCUAAGGAAAUAUACAUUGACAGG